RNAcentral lists this non-coding RNA (291 nucleotides) under Prevotella sp. RNAcentral also lists the same sequence under 1 other name. Lineage: Bacteria; Pseudomonadati; Bacteroidota; Bacteroidia; Bacteroidales; Prevotellaceae. The record is from RNAcentral.
AGGGGCGAUGGUCAUUUUGGUUGAAAUGCCAGGAUGCGUGCGUAGUGAUUAAAAGGGAAUCAGGUGAGAAGCCUGAGCAGUCCCGCUGCUGUAAACAUCUAUCCUCCUCUUGGGGGAGGGCAGGCAAGCACCAAAAGGUCACUGACAUUUUUUCGGGAAGACCGCUUGCCUUGGGUCACACAUCAUUAUAUAUAGGGCAGGAUGCCGAUUUCAUGGAAUAUCUGCGGAAAGCUCGUAGCGAUGUGAAGACGAGAUGUAAGUCAGAAGACCUGCCGUUGUCAUCUCUGCAUC